UGUCGGGGGUAGUCUCUGAAAGGAUCCCUGAUUGGAAGCCUUCGUAACAACCAUGGUAGUGGCAGAAACAUGCAAGGAAAGUAGAUAAGGCAGGCAAGUUGAAGGGGCGUAAAUGGGAAUGGAGCAUGCGAGCCGCAAAAGUCGUCCAGAUUCAUGAAAAAUAACGAAUUAGGACGGGAGGGCGUCGAGCGAGCGGCGUAGAAAUAUAUAUCCCAAUCUAAGGAGCUUCCCAAAAUCUUGGAUUUAUCUAAGGAGUUUUCCAAAGGGUUACGUUGUAUAUGUACGGGGAUCUCUCCUUCGCCGGCGUCGCGCGAGUCAUAAGCUCGCGUUGAUUACGUCCCUGCCCUUUGUACACACCGCCCGUCGCUACCCAUCCGCGCGGAGUCGGGAGGCCGGGAGGGUCGCGGAGCCCCUUCCCGCCGAAGCAACAGUUAUAGGUAUGUUCACAAAGGGUUAUAGAGCGUAAACUCAGUAAUGUCCCUACCGCAGUCUCCAUAAAGG
Molecule: ribosomal RNA, 501 nt
Filed under: Spodoptera litura
Lineage: Eukaryota; Metazoa; Arthropoda; Insecta; Lepidoptera; Noctuidae
Description: partial 18S ribosomal RNA
Source: RNAcentral